AUGUGUAAGAGCCACCACAGGGUCCAGCUUGUUAGGAACAGCGGUUUCGGAUAUCUGUUGGAGCUGGUUGACUGUCCUGUACCCAGGGGGUUUGUGCAGUGGAUCGCUGACAGUGUUGACACAAAAGCAGAAGCAAUUGUUUUCAACAAGAAGAGCAUUCCACUGAAUGCUCAGUCAGUGGAGUUUGUGUUGGGGAUUCCUUCAGGGGAAACAAUCAUAAACACUAAAGAAGAAGAGGCUGGCAAACAAGCUUUUCUUGCACUUUUUGGGUUGACAGAAGUCCCAACAAUCAAAUUCUUUGGCAAUAAGCUGAUGAACGAAGAAAUGUCUGACGACCAGAUCAUCCGUUGUUUCCUGGUUGUGGCAUUAUCAACAUUCCUCUGCCCGACAGCAAACACUAAACCAAGCACCAAAUAUAUGGGAGCUCUAGUUAAUGUGGAGCAACUCAAGCAAAUAAAUUGGUGCAGGUUUGUUCACGAUUGGAAGUUGAUGUAUAUAACGAAAUACCAAAAGGAAAAGCUGAAGCAGAACCGAACAAUGAUGACUCUAGGAGGAUGUAUAUACCACCUAGUCCGUUGCCUUGAUUUUACUGAUUUUGGCUCAAUUCAAAUCCCAUCUUUGAUGCCCAGGAUAUGUGUUUGGAAGGGAGAUAUGGUCAAGCAUUUAAGUGACAUGACCAUUGGAAGAGAUGGAAAGUAUGGAUGUCUGACAAUAAAAGAAGUAUCAGAAACCUGCUAUAAGGAUGGAACUUUUGAGUGGGCAAGUAUGAUUAAGAAUUCAAAUUUCAGGAAAGCGAUAAACAAUGUUGCAGGGAAUUCUUUGUCUGACAAGGUCAAAGAGGAUAUCUUCCUCGCUUACAAAAACCAUAUGAAGAAUGAAGACCUAAAUACUUGCAUCAAAGCUAAAGGGCUUCUGCUAGACACGAUCCGCAUCAUAACCAAUGCCUCUGGUGAAUCAGGUGAUACAGUUCAAGUGGGCUCAACAGGAACUGAAUUGAAUGCAAGCCAACAAUCCAACAACUCAGGAGACACUGUCAAACUACAAUCGACUGAACUUCAAGAGGAAAAUGAUGGAGGGCAUCUGGUGCAAAGGAAAAGAAGGAAAUGA
RNAcentral lists this ribosomal RNA (1107 nucleotides) under Triticum aestivum (bread wheat). RNAcentral's name for it is "partial small subunit ribosomal RNA". The record is from RNAcentral. Lineage: Eukaryota; Viridiplantae; Streptophyta; Magnoliopsida; Poales; Poaceae.